Molecule: microRNA precursor, 68 nt
Filed under: Scleropages formosus (Asian bonytongue)
Lineage: Eukaryota; Metazoa; Chordata; Actinopteri; Osteoglossiformes; Osteoglossidae
Description: mir-8/mir-141/mir-200 microRNA precursor family
Rfam family: mir-8/mir-141/mir-200 microRNA precursor family
About the family: The bounds of the precursors are predicted based on conservation and base pairing and are not generally known.
Source: Rfam by way of RNAcentral
AUCUCCAUCUUACGAGGCAGUUUUGGAUGUCAUGGAUCUCUCUAAUACUGCCUGGUAAUGAUGAUGAU